This 230-nucleotide ribosomal RNA is filed under the name uncultured bacterium. Its description in RNAcentral is "partial 16S ribosomal RNA". It matches the Rfam family "Bacterial small subunit ribosomal RNA", at positions 562 to 791 of the family's 1533-position model. The record is from RNAcentral.
AAAGCGCACGUAGGCGGACUGGAAAGUCAGAGGUGAAAUCCCAGGGCUCAACCUUGGAACUGCCUUUGAAACUCCCAGUCUUGAGGUCGAGAGAGGUGAGUGGAAUUCCGAGUGUAGAGGUGAAAUUCGUAGAUAUUCGGAGGAACACCAGUGGCGAAGGCGGCUCACUGGCUCGAUACUGACGCUGAGGUGCGAAAGCGUGGGGAGCAAACAGGAUUAGAUACCCCAGU